RNAcentral lists this ribosomal RNA (253 nucleotides) under uncultured bacterium. RNAcentral describes it as "partial 16S ribosomal RNA". It matches the Rfam family "Bacterial small subunit ribosomal RNA", at positions 524 to 776 of the family's 1533-position model. The record is from RNAcentral.
UACAGAGGUCCCAAGCGUUGUUCGGAUUCACUGGGCGUAAAGAGCUCGUAGGCGGUCUGUCGCGUCGGCUGUGAAAACCCGGAGCUCAACUCCGGGCCUGCAGUCGAUACGGGCAAACUGGAGUGUUGCAGGGGAGACUGGAAUUCCUGGUGUAGCGGUGAAAUGCGCAGAUAUCAGGAGGAACACCGGUGGCGAAGGCGGGUCUCUGGGCAACAACUGACGCUGAGGAGCGAAAGCGUGGGGAGCGAACAGG